AGUGAAUAAACAGGCGUGUGCGCGGGCCUGCGUCGAGGGCGCUGAAAUUCUCCGCUCAGAUACUCAAGGACCUGCCUCCAGCUGCGAGCGCACUUCGACGUGCAUACCGCCUGUUUGACGAAGCUGGCAUCGUUCCAUCCUGUAACCGGACGUACGAGGUAAAAAACUAAAUCUAAGUCAUGUUUGGAGCCAGGUUUAAAUGUGUGCUUUUAUUUUGUGACAUUUUGGGAACAAGGAUUUGCUCAGAGGAUUUUGGAUGUGGUUGAGUUUUUGAACAAACUAGUUAUUAAUGGAAACAUCUGUAGGAGCGACUAAAGCGCAGAUGUUAAAGUUUAGUCCCUUUGUUCCUCCCGUCUUUAUCCGCUGCUGUCUCCCACAAAGGAAAUGACCAUAUUUGGAUUACAGCCUUUCGUGCUACACAUGGAUACCAAACAUGUCAGUAUUUGUGAAUGAAUAAGCGUGAGAAAGACCGGAGAGCCACACAGACAUGUUGGAGUCACUUCCUGGAUCAAUCUCAGAGAAUAAACAUCGUAAAGAGAGAGUUUGUUUUUUUACUCUGACAGAGUUAAACUUGACACAAAACUUAACUGUGAUCAUUGCAGGAUUCUGGAUGUUUCACCUGCAGCGUCUCUUACUUCUGUUAAAGGUGGAGCAGCUGCGUAAAGUCGUGUCUCCGCUGUUUGGGAACCACCACGAGAUCCAGUGUUUCACCGACGAACAGGGCCGGGAGCUGUGGUUCCAGCUGAAGGUCUCUCUUUUCUCCAACGGGACCGCGGGCUGUGGACACCCGGACCUCAACUGGGCCCCCGCGCCGCGCAAAACCCACCCCUGCCCCCCCGCGGUGCCCCUGUACUACCUGCCAUCGACCACAGGACGCCCCCGCGGCCCUGCCAGGACUGAACCAGGACUGAAGAAUCAUCUUGGAGCUUAUAUGAUAUUUUACAUUUUAUGAUUUAAAAUAAUGUCUCUGUUAAGAAUUAAACUGAAACAGGUCUCACAGAAUAAGACUUACCUGGAGCGCCUCCUGCUGGCCAAUGUAGGAAUUAUUAUUAUUAUUAAAAAACUACCUUCAGUUUGAAUUCACUUCAGCUCGAUAAACACACUUACAGAUAAAACAGUUGUGGCUUUAAACAAUGACGCGAUUGUGUUGAGGAAGAACAGAACGAAGCACCGACGUCGUAGAAGAAGAAACCCCCACCUGAACUGAGCACAUUUUCUCCUGUUCGGCUUUACACAAAUCUAAAAAAGUGUCAAAAUAGCAACGAAAAUGAGACGUAAACGAGGAUGAAAGCGUAACACAAAAAUGACAAAAAAGCGACAGAAAAAUAAAAAAAGUAACAAAAUAAAACACAGAAAUGACCAAAAAAUUACUAAAAAUUACAUUAAAGAAUACUACAAAACGACACAAAAUUACACAAAAGCAACACAAAGAGAAACAAUUUAUUAUUAUUUUUUUUUUUUACAAAAACUUGACCAAAAAAGCAACACAUUUUUUUUCUAAAAUACCACGAAAAAGUGACGACAACACGAGAAAAAUUGUAGAUCACUUUUGUCGUCUUAGCUUUCAAAUCAGAUAUUACCCUGGCCAAUAGGCUGUAAACGCCAGUCAAGAAGCUUUUAGAUUUGGGUGAAGCUGAACUGGAGGAAAGGCGGGGCUUAAGAGGUUAAACAGGAUGAAACUGCCGUGAAUGUAGUAAAUGUAGUAAACAACGUUAGAACCUGUGAAAUGUCCAGUUUAACAAGUGAAAACCUGCUCAGAUUUGUUGUGUUUGUGGCAUUAAA
This is a long non-coding RNA of Neogobius melanostomus (round goby), 1782 nucleotides long. NCBI's taxonomy places the organism in Eukaryota, Metazoa, Chordata, Actinopteri, Gobiiformes, Gobiidae. The record is from Ensembl.